RNAcentral lists this ribosomal RNA (549 nucleotides) under uncultured bacterium. RNAcentral describes it as "bacterial SSU rRNA". It matches the Rfam family "Bacterial small subunit ribosomal RNA", at positions 356 to 896 of the family's 1533-position model. The record is from RNAcentral.
AGGGAAUCUUCGGCAAUGGACGGAAGUCUGACCGAGCAGCGCCGCGUGAGUGAAGAAGGUUUUCGGAUCGUAAAGCUCUGUUGUAAGAGAAGAACGGGUGUGAGAGUGGAAAGUUCACACUGUGACGGUAUCUUACCAGAAAGGGACGGCUAACUACGUGCCAGCAGCCGCGGUAAUACGUAGGUCCCGAGCGUUGUCCGGAUUUAUUGGGCGUAAAGCGAGCGCAGGCGGUUAGAUAAGUCUGAAGUUAAAGGCUGUGGCUUAACCAUAGUACGCUUUGGAAACUGUUUAACUUGAGUGCAAGAGGGGAGAGUGGAAUUCCAUGUGUAGCGGUGAAAUGCGUAGAUAUAUGGAGGAACACCGGUGGCGAAAGCGGCUCUCUGGCUUGUAACUGACGCUGAGGCUCGAAAGCGUGGGGAGCAAACAGGAUUAGAUACCCUGGUAGUCCACGCCGUAAACGAUGAGUGCUAGGUGUUAGACCCUUUCCGGGGUUUAGUGCCGUAGCUAACGCAUUAAGCACUCCGCCUGGGGAGUACGACCGCAAGGUUG